UGGGGAAUUUUGGACAAUGGGCGAAAGCCUGAUCCAGCAAUGCCGCGUGUGUGAAGAAGGCCUUCGGGUUGUAAAGCACUUUUGUCCGGAAAGAAAUCCUUGGCUCUAAUACAGUCGGGGGAUGACGGUACCGGAAGAAUAAGCACCGGCUAACUACGUGCCAGCAGCCGCGGUAAUACGUAGGGUGCAAGCGUUAAUCGGAAUUACUGGGCGUAAAGCGUGCGCAGGCGGUUUGCUAAGACCGAUGUGAAAUCCCCGGGCUCAACCUGGGAACUGCAUUGGUGACUGGCAGGCUAGAGUAUGGCAGAGGGGGGUAGAAUUCCACGUGUAGCAGUGAAAUGCGUAGAGAUGUGGAGGAAUACCGAUGGCGAAGGCAGCCCCCUGGGCCAAUACUGACGCUCAUGCACGAAAGCGUGGGGAGCAAAACAGGAUUAGAUACCCUGGUAGUCCACGCCCUAAACGAUGUCAACUAGUUGUUGGGGAUUCAUUUCCUUAGUAACGUAGCUAACGCGUGAAGUUGACCGCCUGGGGAGUACGGUCGCAAGAUUAAAACUCAAGUGAAUUGACGGGGUCAUAGCUGUUUCCU
Molecule: ribosomal RNA, 586 nt
Filed under: uncultured bacterium
Lineage: Bacteria
Description: partial 16S ribosomal RNA
Rfam family: Bacterial small subunit ribosomal RNA
Source: RNAcentral